CAGUCGAGCGGAACGAGUUAUCUGAACCUUCGGGGAACGAUAACGGCGUCGAGCGGCGGACGGGUGAGUAAUGCCUAGGAAAUUGCCCUGAUGUGGGGGAUAACCAUUGGAAACGAUGGCUAAUACCGCAUAAUACCUACGGGCCAAAGAGGGGGACCUUCGGGCCUCUCGCGUCAGGAUAUGCCUAGGUGGGAUUAGCUAGUUGGUGAGGUAAGGGCUCACCAAGGCGACGAUCCCUAGCUGGUCUGAGAGGAUGAUCAGCCACACUGGAACUGAGACACGGUCCAGACUCCUACGGGAGGCAGCAGUGGGGAAUAUUGCACAAUGGGCGCAAGCCUGAUGCAGCCAUGCCGCGUGUGUGAAGAAGGCCUUCGGGUUGUAAAGCACUUUCAGUCGUGAGGAAGGUAGUGUAGUUAAUAGCUGCAUUAUUUGACGUUAGCGACAGAAGAAGCACCGGCUAACUCCGUGCCAGCAGC
Molecule: ribosomal RNA, 476 nt
Filed under: bacterium BSD8-2L
Lineage: Bacteria
Description: bacterial SSU rRNA
Rfam family: Bacterial small subunit ribosomal RNA
Source: RNAcentral